AAUCAGCAAGGGCUGCAUUUGGUUUAGAACUUUCUGGUCCCCACACAGGCCCUUCUACCCUCUAAAAUCUCUCUCUCCCUUUCCCCGGGGAUUCUCCCCAUUCUCAGAAACAACCACAAUCAGAAAAACGUAAAACCACAGAAGGAUAAAACCAUUUCUGGGCUGUACUUCCGAGCAUUCCCAGACCACAGACCACGGCAGUUUACAAGGAGAUGUUUUAACUAUGGAUGAGGCUGCGGUGGCUUUAUGAAGGGUGCUAAGAAGAAAAUGAUCUUCUUGGAUUUCAUUUUCAUUUUGGUUUAAUGAGAGAUGGAUGACCUCUGCUAAAGAAACCUGCCUACAGACCUGGGGGGAGUCCCAGGCCUCUCAAAUCUAGCUAAAAAGUGAAGACCGCCUGCUUUCCAUUUUCUGUGAGCUAGACUCGAGAGUGGGGAUGGAGGGCAUGGACGUCAGAGGGUCUGUCUGGUCAUGGCCGAUCUGGAAUGCCAGAGACAAUGAAAGACCUUACUGGACAAAUAAAUACAACAGGAACACUGUC
Molecule: long non-coding RNA, 538 nt
Organism: Felis catus (domestic cat)
Lineage: Eukaryota; Metazoa; Chordata; Mammalia; Carnivora; Felidae
Exons: 2
Source: RefSeq, a predicted model, not a curated record